This 317-nucleotide ribosomal RNA is filed under the name uncultured fungus. Its description in RNAcentral is "eukaryotic LSU rRNA". The stretch from base 1 to 71 matches the Rfam family "5.8S ribosomal RNA", at positions 84 to 154 of the family's 154-position model. Lineage: Eukaryota; Fungi. The record is from RNAcentral.
GUGAAUCAUCGAAUCUUUGAACGCACCUUGCGCUCCUUGGUAUUCCAAGGAGCAUGCCUGUUUGAGUGUCAUGUUAAUAUCAACCCCGUCGGUUUGUUAAUCAGACCGUUGGGUGUUGGACUUGGAGGUUCUUGCUGGCUGCAAAGUCGGCUCCUCUUGAAUGCAUUAGCUUGGGCCUGUUGUGCGUGCUCGCGGUGUAAUAAGUUUUAUUCAUCGUUUUGGGUCGUACACCUAUAGGGCUUGCUUCUAACUGUCUUCGGACAAAUAUAACCUCUGACUCUGACCUCAAAUCAGGUAGGACUACCCGCUGAACUUAA